UACGUAGGGUGCAAGCGUUAUCCGGAAUUAUUGGGCGUAAAGAGCUCGUAGGCGGUUUGUCGCGUCUGCUGUGAAAACUGGAGGCUCAACCUCCAGCCUGCAGUGGGUACGGGCAGACUAGAGUGCGGUAGGGGAGAUUGGAAUUCCUGGUGUAGCGGUGGAAUGCGCAGAUAUCAGGAGGAACACCAAUGGCGAAGGCAGAUCUCUGGGCCGUAACUGACGCUGGAGGAGCGAAAGCAUGGGGAGCGAACAGG
Molecule: ribosomal RNA, 254 nt
Filed under: uncultured bacterium
Lineage: Bacteria
Description: partial 16S ribosomal RNA
Rfam family: Bacterial small subunit ribosomal RNA
Source: RNAcentral